AACGAACGCUGGCGGCAUGCCUAACACAUGCAAGUCGAACGAGACCUUCGGGUCUAGUGGCGCACGGGUGCGUAACGCGUGGGAACCUGCCCUUAGGUUCGGAAUAACUCCCCGAAAGGGGUGCUAAAACCGGAUAAUGUCUUCGGACCAAAGAUUUAUCGCCUUUGGAUGGGCCCGCGUUGGAUUAGCUAGUUGGUAGGGUAAAAGCCUACCAAGGCGACGAUCCAUAGCUGGUCUGAGAGGAUGAUCAGCCACACUGGGACUGAGACACGGCCCAGACUCCUACGGGAGGCAGCAGUGGGGAAUAUUGGACAAUGGGCGAAAGCCUGAUCCAGCAAUGCCGCGUGAGUGAUGAAGGCCUUAGGGUUGUAAAGCCCUUUUACCCGGGAUGAUAAUGACAGUACCGGGAGAAUAAGCUCCGGCUAACUCCGUG
Molecule: ribosomal RNA, 433 nt
Filed under: uncultured bacterium
Lineage: Bacteria
Description: partial 16S ribosomal RNA
Rfam family: Bacterial small subunit ribosomal RNA
Source: RNAcentral